This 431-nucleotide ribosomal RNA is filed under the name uncultured bacterium. RNAcentral describes it as "partial 16S ribosomal RNA". It matches the Rfam family "Bacterial small subunit ribosomal RNA", at positions 29 to 507 of the family's 1533-position model. The record is from RNAcentral.
AACGAACGCUGGCGGCAGGCUUAACACAUGCAAGUCGAGCGCCCCGCAAGGGGAGUUGCAGACGGGUCAGUAACGCGUGGGAAGGUACCUUUUGGUUCGGAACAACUCCGGGAAACUGGAGCUAAUACCGGAUAAGGCCUAACGGGGAAAGAUUUAUCGUCGAACGAUUGGCCCGCGUCUGAUUAGCUAGUUUGGAGGGUCACGGCACACCAUCGCGAGGAUCAGUAGCUGGUCUGAGAGGAGGAUCAGCCACACUGGGACUAGGACACGGCCCAGACUCGUACGGAAGGGAGGAGAGGGGGAUAUAGGACAAUGGGGGCAGGCCUGAACAAGCCAUGCCGGGAAAGUGAUGAAGGCCGUAGGGAAGUAAAGCGGUUUUGUCCGGGAAGAUAAUGACGGUACCGGAAGAAUAAGCCCCGGCUAACUACGUG